CUUAUGAUGAACAUGUAUGUAGCACAUGACACUGGAAUAAACAUUUCUUCUCCUUCUUCUCCUGUACUCCUCAUGUAACUGGUGAAGGUUGUCCAUACACAGAAGGUAGGGUGUCCUCCCAUUUUUCUAUACAUAUAUAUAUUCUUUGUCAUAUCAGUGAAAUAAUCAAAUUAAAAUUUGAAUGUUUGUAUUUUCAGAUCAAUAUAGCAACUGUACCCGUGCAGUGCGGGUGAUGUCGGCAGGUACGGCCAUGGAUGCACAGGUCUCGACUCUGGUCGUAAUGUUUCUUCCAUCCUUCCUCUGGAAUAUAAGAGGAUGACACUGUGGCAAACAACAGCAAGAAUCACACACUUGUACAAAGGCCUUUCAUUCAAGUCAGGAAUAAUAUGUUCAUGUCAGAUUAUUCCUACAAUAGGUUAUAAGAGUAAUAAAACUACUGUAACACAAUAUGUAAAGAACUAGAAACACUUUUGUAUCCUACAAUAGGUUAUAAGAGUAAUAAUACUACUGUAACACAAUAUGUAAAGAACUAGAAACACUUUUGUAUCCUACAACAGGUUAUAGUGUCAUACUGUAACACAAUAUGUAAAGAACUAGAAAUGCUUUUGUAUCCUACAAUAGGUUAUAGUGUCAUACUGUAACACAAUAUGUAAAGAACUAGAAACACUUUUGUAUCCUACAACAGGUUAUAGUGUCAUACUGUAACACAAUAUGUAAAGAACUAGAAACACUUUUGUAUCCUACAAUAGGUUAUAGUGUCAUACUGUAACACAAUAUGUAAAGAACUAGAAACACUUUUGUAUCCUACAACAGGUUAUAGUGUCAUACUGUAACACAAUAUGUAAAGAACUAGAAAUGCUUUUGUAUCCUACAAUAGGUUAUAGUGUCAUACUGUAACACAAUAUGUAAAGAACUAGAAAUGCUUUUGUAUCCUACAAUAGGUUAUAAGAGUAAUAAUACUACUGUAACACAAUAUGUAAAGAACUAGAAAUGCUUUUGUAUUCUACAAUAGGGUAUAGUGUCAUACUGUAACACAAUAUGUUAAGAACUAGAAAACACUUUUGUAUCCUACAAUAGGUUAUAAGAGUAAUAAUACUACUGUAACACAAUAUGUAAAGAACUAGAAAACACUUUUGUAUCCUAUAAUAGGUUAUAGUGUCAUACUGUAACACAAUAUGUAAAGAACUAGAAACACUUUUGUAUCCUACAACAGGUUAUAGUGUCAUACUGUAACACAAUAUGUAAAGAACUAGAAAUGCUUUUGUAUCCUACAAUAGGUUAUAGUGUCAUACUGUAACACAAUAUGUAAAGAACUAGAAACACUUUUGUAUCCUUCAAUAGGUUAUAGUGUCAUACUGUAACACUAUUAUGUAAAGAACUAGAAAUGCUUUUGUAUUCUACAAUAGGGUAUAGUGUCAUACUGUAACACAAUAUGUUAAGAACUAGAAACACUUUUGUAUCCUACAAUAGGUUAUAAGAGUAAUAAUACUACUGUAACACAAUAUGUAAAGAACUAGAAAUGCUUUUGUAUUUUUCAAUAGGGUAUAGAGUCAUACUGUAACACAAUAUGUAAAGAACUAGAAACACUUUUGUAUCCUACAAUAGGUUAUAGUGUCAUACUGUAACACAAUAUGUAAAGAACUAGAAACACUUUUGUAUCCUACAAUAGGUUAUAGUGUCAUACUGUAACACAAUAUGUAAAGAACUAGAAACACUUUUGUAUCCUACAAUAGGUUAUAGUGUCAUACUGUAACACAAUAUGUAAAGAACUAGAAACACUUUUGUAUUCUACAAUAGGUUAUAGUGUCAUACUGUAACACAAUAUGUAAAGGAUUAGAAACACUUUUGUAUCCUAGCUACAAUAUAUAUCUUUCACAUUCAUCUUUUAAACUCUGCAUUUAUCUUAUAACAAAUACAAAUUUCAUACUUUUUCUGAAUGUAUUGUAGCAAUAAAGUACAAAGGCAUAUCUCAGGGUGCCCUGACAGUUCUGUGCAUAACACUGAGAAGCAUGCCAUGAACACUUGUGGGACAGUUCAGCACAUUGUACUCUUGCGAUUCAGGAACUGGGACUCGCUGUGGGAAAAGCAUAGAGCAGCUAUAGAUUCAUGAAAAAACCCUGAAAUGUUCAGUUACUGAACAGAUGACAACAGCUGUCAACACAGCAACCUUUCUAUACAUGAUGGUAGAAAAUGUUUCUGGAAGUCAGGAGUCAGAAUGAAGAAAAGCAGUUCCUGAAACCUUUUUCUGAUGUGGAAUUUCCAAGCUAAAACAACAGUACAUUCCCGUAUGUCCCCACUUGGGAAGGAGA
This is a long non-coding RNA of Haliotis rufescens (red abalone), 2309 nucleotides long. RefSeq lists it as uncharacterized. NCBI's taxonomy places the organism in Eukaryota, Metazoa, Mollusca, Gastropoda, Lepetellida, Haliotidae. The record is from RefSeq and is a predicted model, not a curated record. The transcript is spliced from 2 exons.